Molecule: small RNA, 68 nt
Filed under: Nocardia caishijiensis
Lineage: Bacteria; Bacillati; Actinomycetota; Actinomycetes; Mycobacteriales; Nocardiaceae
Description: ASdes TB sRNA
Rfam family: ASdes TB sRNA
Source: RNAcentral
AGCGCGACCGGAUCGACGCCGCGGGUGACGACCAGAUAGUCGCGGAUGACGAUGCCGUGCCGGUUCUC